ACACGUAGGAUCCGAGCGUUGUCCGGAAUUACUGGGCUUAAAGGGUGCGUAGGCGGCUUGGCAAGUUGGGUGUGAAAUCCCUCGGCUCAACCGAGGAAUUGCGCCCAAAACUGCCAGACUUGAGGGAGACAGAGGUGAGUGGAACUUAGGGUGGAGCGGUGAAAUGCGUUGAUAUCCUAAGGAACACCAGUGGCGAAAGCGACUCACUGGGUCUCUUCUGACGCUGAGGCACGAAAGCUAGGGGAGCGAACGGGAUUAGAAACCCCAGUAGUCC
This 274-nucleotide ribosomal RNA is filed under the name uncultured bacterium. RNAcentral's name for it is "partial 16S ribosomal RNA". It matches the Rfam family "Bacterial small subunit ribosomal RNA", at positions 523 to 796 of the family's 1533-position model. The record is from RNAcentral.